This 202-nucleotide ribosomal RNA is filed under the name uncultured bacterium. Its description in RNAcentral is "partial 16S ribosomal RNA". It matches the Rfam family "Bacterial small subunit ribosomal RNA", at positions 28 to 219 of the family's 1533-position model. The record is from RNAcentral.
GACGAACGCUGGCGGCGUGCUUAACACAUGCAAGUGGCGCGACGAACCAGGGCGUUGCCCUGGGGCAGAGCCGCGAACGGGUGAGUAACACGUGGGCAACCUGCCCCGAUGGACUGGGACAACCCGGGGAAACCCGGGCUAAUACCGGAUGUGCCCGCUCCACACCAGUGGAAGCGGUGUAAAGGAAGCUUCGGCCUCCGCA